Molecule: ribosomal RNA, 427 nt
Filed under: uncultured beta proteobacterium
Lineage: Bacteria; Pseudomonadati; Pseudomonadota; Betaproteobacteria
Description: bacterial SSU rRNA
Rfam family: Bacterial small subunit ribosomal RNA
Source: RNAcentral
UGGGGAAUUUUGGACAAUGGGCGAAAGCCUGAUCCAGCCAUGCCGCGUGAGUGAAGAAGGCCUUCGGGUUGUAAAGCUCUUUUAGUCGGAAAGAAAGAGUUGCAAUGAAUAAUUGUGAUUUAUGACGGUACCGACAGAAAAAGCACCGGCUAACUACGUGCCAGCAGCCGCGGUAAUACGUAGGGUGCGAGCGUUAAUCGGAAUUACUGGGCGUAAAGGGUGCGCAGGCGGUCUUGCAAGUCAGAUGUGAAAGCCCCGGGCUUAACCUGGGAAUUGCGUUUGGAACUACAAGACUAGAGUGCAGCAGAGGGGAGUGGAAUUCCAUGUGUAGCAGUGAAAUGCGUAGAGAUGUGGAAGAACACCGAUGGCGAAGGCAGCUCCCUGGGUUGACACUGACGCUCAUGCACGAAAGCGUGGGGAGCAAACA